UACGGAGGGGGGCUAGCGUUGUUCGGAAUUACUGGGCGUAAAGCGCACGUAGGCGGCUUUGUAAGUUAGAGGUGAAAGCCCAGGGCUUAACCCUGGAAUUGCCUUUAAGACUGCAUCGCUAGAAUCGUGGAGAGGUGAGUGGAAUUCCGAGUGUAGAGGUGAAAUUCGUAGAUAUUCGGAAGAACACCAGUGGCGAAGGCGACUCACUGGACACGUAUUGACGCUGAGGCGCGAAAGCGUGGGGAGCAAACAGG
Molecule: ribosomal RNA, 254 nt
Filed under: uncultured bacterium
Lineage: Bacteria
Description: partial 16S ribosomal RNA
Rfam family: Bacterial small subunit ribosomal RNA
Source: RNAcentral